GACAAACGCUGGCGGUAUGCCUAACACAUGCAAGUCGAACGGACAGAACAGGGAAGCUUUUCGGAGUGGAACUGGAAAGUUAGUGGCGGAUGGGUGAGUAACGCGUGGACAACCUACCUUGUAAAGGGGAAUAACCUCGAGAAAUCGAAGCUAAUACCCCAUAAUAACCUUGCUUCGCAUGAAGUAAGGAGGAAAGGCGGCCUUAGCGCUGUCGAUACAAGAUGGGUCCGCGUCUGAUUAGCUAGUUGGUGAGGUGAAGGCUCACCAAGGCGACGAUCAGUAGCCGGCCUGAGAGGGUGAACGGCCACAUUGGGACUGAGACACGGCCCAAACUCCUACGGGAGGCAGCAGUGGGGAAUCUUCCGCAAUGGGCGAAAGCCUGACGGAGCAAUGCCGCGUGAGUGAAGAAGGCCUUCGGGUUGUAAAACUCUGUCCUUAUCGAAGAGAGAGUGUUGUAGUAACUGACAAUACUAGGACGGUAGAUGAGGAGGAAGCCCCGGCUAACUAUGUG
Molecule: ribosomal RNA, 511 nt
Filed under: uncultured bacterium
Lineage: Bacteria
Description: partial 16S ribosomal RNA
Rfam family: Bacterial small subunit ribosomal RNA
Source: RNAcentral